RNAcentral lists this long non-coding RNA (503 nucleotides) under Phoenix dactylifera (date palm). RNAcentral's name for it is "long non-coding RNA (PDAC_LNC023022)". Lineage: Eukaryota; Viridiplantae; Streptophyta; Magnoliopsida; Arecales; Arecaceae. The record is from RNAcentral.
UCUACGUCACCGGUCAUGUGUCUUGAACAGCCGCUAUCUAGAUACCAUCGUUUUUCCACUUUAUCAGCUGCAAGACACCCCUGUAAUCAAGAUCAAGAAAGAGCUUUAGGUACCCAAACUAUGUUGGGUCCUUUAGGGUUAGUACUUGAUGUUCCUUUUGGAACCCAAACUUUCUUGAAUUUAAUCUUUUGAUUAUUACUUAAUUUAUUUUGACUGGACUUUCUAUAGUUACAUUCAUAUGCUCUAUGUCCUAAUUUAUUGCAGCAAUGACAAGUAAUAUUUUCAUUUUUAGCUUUUACAAAAAUGUUCUUUAAGAAUUUUUGUUUCCUAUUUAUUUUAUAUCCUAAACCAGCCUUAUCAAAUACAGCUUUUUGACUGUCAAGAAUCAUAUUUAGUUUGGUAGAGCUAAGUGUAAACUUAUCUACCAAGGAUUUAUAUUUUUCAGCAUCUUCUUUUAACUUGAUAUUUUCAGCAAUUAGAUUCUUAGUUUCGUUUGUAAGUUU